ACAGCCAAAUCCCACCGACCUCGAAGAAAUGACACCCCCUCCAAGAGGCUUUUCUAGGCCCCUCCCCUACUCCCUACGCCGGCCACGAUGUGACUGUUGGGCAGGGGGGAAAAUCAAGCGGCGGCUACACACAGUGGGGCCCCCAUCCCUUUGGGCUCAAUGCCCAACCGUGGGGACCACACCGUCAACUGGAGGACCUUGAACACCCGCUCCACCUGGGCCUGUGCAGACACACCGGCGGGCGCGGGGCCCGCGUUUCCACGCAGAUUCUUCACGAGGGAAACUCCCGUGUGAUGCGCGAUAAAGAAACUGAGUCCCGACGAGCUAGCGACUCGACCCGCCCUCCGGCGGGGGCAGAGGUUGGAUUCCUGUCGCCGCGCCGAGCCCCCUCCCCUUCGGUACGGCCCCGGGGCGGGGCCUCGGCAUUCUCUCCGGAUGCUCAGUCGGCGCCGACCCCAAAAGGAAAUGUGCGGCGGAGGGCUGAGUGAACCCCGGGCCUCGCCCCUGGCCUGAGCAGGGCGGCUCGCUUUCCACUCCCUUCGUCUUUCCCUCUGUGAAGGCUGGAACCUGGCCGACUGUGCCACUGAGGGUCAGGGGAGCUAACGCGGGGAUAGGGCACUGGGCAUAGGGCACUGGGCAGCACUGCUGCCCCCCUCCCGUCGCUAUUCCCUUCACCUCCUACUCCUACCCCCCCCUUCACCCUCCAUCGUCUCCUCCGAGCCUUCGCUCCUCCCAGCGAGACCUGCCCUCUUCUCACGCUCAGCGGUGCACUUUCCGCCGGGGUGGAGUGGAUGCGGAGUGAGCCCAGACGCCCGUGCAGUGCGGGGGUCUGGGGUCUGUGGGGACAGAGUUGCUAGUGGAAGCGUUCUGUAAGGUGGGGCGGGUUCUUUGGGUUUCCUCAGGAAAGAGGGGAGUCCACACCCAGCUGCUCUCCUUCUACCCUCUCUACUACAGCAGGUGGGGGGGGGUCGCCGUACCCGCAUAGUUUAUUUUUAUCUGUUUCAUAGGUUUGCGCCCCAGGACGGAUAAAGUCAUGGGGACUGUGAGUCGAGAAACACUAGGACUCAGCCGGGGUCCGUCUGGCAAUUAUGGACAAGUGUCUUGUUCAUCCAGCACCUCAGCUUCCUUCUCUGCCAAAUAGGGUUGGUAAGGGUCCAACCCAGGCAAGUGGGUAGGGGGAAUGCCGAGCAGAAAGGCCGGAUGCCCUCCUCCCGGGCUCCGAGACACACCGUGGUGCACAUUCCGACAGAGCGGGGUGGAUGCGGAGUGAGUCAGGACGCCUGUGCAGUGCCGGGCCUGGGGUGUCUGUGGGGAUGGAGUUGUGGGUGGAAGCUUCUGGGGAGAGUAAAGGUGUCAGGCCACUCCCAGCCUGAGGGGCUGAAGAAACAUCUAGUUAGAUCUGAACCUGGGGGCUGGGAGGACCAGAGCUACUGGGGAGGGAGCAGCCCUUUUGGGCUGGAGGCGUCCCUGUCCGGAUAUGACUGACCUUGGCCUGACUUCAUCGCUAACGCCUUACCCAGGCCCAGAGCAACCCUUAGCUGGCCCUUUGGUCCCCUCCCCUCCUCACCUUCCUUUACCCCAAGUUCUAAGCUCCAGACUUGCCUAUUGGUAUGACCAGCCUGCCCGUUCUUCUGGGGAACUCCCAACAAGGUUGCAAGUCUCUAGCUUUUGCAUACACUGACCCCCCCACCCCAACUCCCGGCAUGCUCAUCUCUCCCUUGAUUGCUCUCCCUAUGUCUAUUCAGCUUUCAAAAUAUUGUCCAGGAGUUUAUCUUCUGUGGGCCUUGCCUCAUCGGUUGCAGGUGUGCCUGACGCACACUUCGGAUCGUCAGUGUUUUGUUGUCAUUUACUUAGGUUCCCCCCAACCCAGUGUGAGCUCCUAGAGAGCUGACAUCUUUAAUUCGAGACUGUGCCUCCCUUCCCCAGGUCUAGCACAGGGCUGGCGCCCAACUAAUGCCUACAGAAUUGACCAGAGGGGUGGGCAGGGGGUACAGCUGGGGGCACCUCAGGGAAGCAAAAAAGGGGUCUCCCGUUUCUCCGCUACCUGGCCCCCAUUCAUCCUCCCUUUCAGUUCGCAGGGGCCCCAUCUUCUCCAGGGACAAGCCGGGAGAAGGAGGUUGGGCGGCGUUCUAGCCCAGGUACCCCUCCACCGUUGCUCGGGUGAGCCAGACCUGUCCCAUCCCGUCCCUCUUAGAGGGCCCCACUUGUUUCGUUGCCCUUUUAAGAAAGAGGAAAUUCUUCUCAUAAACAAGCGCCUCAACCAGAGCGCGGAGCCCAGCUGCCUGCCCCGCCGCAUCCCCGGGAAAUCGGGGGUGCUUCCAGGCACAGCGCCCACUCCAAGCUCAAUCUAGGGGAAAGGGCUGGCGGCCCCUCAUCGCCGACGCUCGCCACAGCUCAGGGGCUGGGGUCCGAGGGACGGGAAGAGGCAGGAGGGACUUGGGGGAGCCUAGAAACAGCCCAGGGAGCGUCUGUAAAGUGCAGCCCCUUCAAGGGGCGAAAGGGCGCCGGGCCGCUCCCUGCGGCCGAGGUGGUUCCCCGCCCACAGAGCUCACCCCACCUUCCCGCCUGGGCGGAUUCCGAGGCCCCCGGGCGCGAAGCCCGAGUGACAGCCUCCUCCUCUUUGGAGGCGGGGAGUACCGGCGCUCGGGAUCGUCCCUGUCCCUAGGGGGAGCUGGGAGUCAACGCCCAGGGAGCGUUAACUACGCGGCGUGGGAGUCCCGGCCGCCUGGUCCCCUGGGGAGAUGGCAAAGGAAUUGGGCCUCAGAGGCACCGACUCUUCGGUUCCUUAGGACUUGGCGCCCUAAGAGGGGAGAACCGCGCUUCUGUUUUCCUGCCUGGAAAAGGGGUUUCAGGUGGAACAGAAAGGCUGAGGCCACUCCAGCGAGAGUGGGAGCGAGGCAGACCUUCAGGGAGGGGAACUAUUCUUGAUGGUUCAGGGAUUUUGUGCUUUCCUGUUUCCAUUUCCCUGCUCUUUUGGAUAAGAAGUGAAUUAGCAUUUAUUUAUCGUUUUCAGACUCUAUUUUUAAAGUACCAGUUUGGAGCCUGUGUCCCACCCCCAAUUGGGUUGGUCUGUCAGGUUACUCCUAUAGGUGCUCAAUAAAUACUUCAGGAAUGAUUUUUUUUUUU
Long non-coding RNA from Delphinapterus leucas (beluga whale), 3126 nucleotides. RefSeq lists it as uncharacterized. NCBI's taxonomy places the organism in Eukaryota, Metazoa, Chordata, Mammalia, Artiodactyla, Monodontidae. The record is from RefSeq and is a predicted model, not a curated record.